AUUGAACGCUGGCGGCAGGCCUAACACAUGCAAGUCGAACGGUAACAGGAAGCAGCUUGCUGCUUUGCUGACGAGUGGCGGACGGGUGAGUAAUGUCUGGGAAACUGCCCGAUGGAGGGGGAUAACUACUGGAAACGGUAGCUAAUACCGCAUAACGUCGCAAGACCAAAGAGGGGGACCUUAGGGCCUCUUGCCAUCGGAUGUGCCCAGAUGGGAUUAGCUAGUAGGUGGGGUAACGGCUCACCUAGGCGACGAUCCCUAGCUGGUCUGAGAGGAUGACCAGCCACACUGGAACUGAGACACGGUCCAGACUCCUACGGGAGGCAGCAGUGGGGAAUAUUGCACAAUGGGCGCAAGCCUGAUGCAGCCAUGCCGCGUGUAUGAAGAAGGCCUUCGGGUUGUAGAGUACUUUCAGCGGGGAGGAAGGGAGUAAAGUUAAUACCUUUGCUCAUUGACGUUACCCGCAGAAGAAGCACCGGCUAACUCCGUG
This 490-nucleotide ribosomal RNA is filed under the name uncultured bacterium. RNAcentral's name for it is "partial 16S ribosomal RNA". It matches the Rfam family "Bacterial small subunit ribosomal RNA", at positions 30 to 507 of the family's 1533-position model. The record is from RNAcentral.